AUUAUCUUCUUCCACCCAUUGAAUUAAGAUAAUCUCUUUCUUGUCUUGCAUAUUCUUGUGGAAAACCAUACUCCAAUUUGGUUAUUGUGAUUAUAUUUUAUUGUUUAGAAGAAGUUCUUGUGUUAUAUUCUUGUGUAAGACUUCAAGAUAAUCUUGAAGAUAAGGAUCAAGGAGCUUGCAAACACUUAGAACAAUCUUCAUAAGGAGG
RNAcentral lists this long non-coding RNA (208 nucleotides) under Nicotiana benthamiana. RNAcentral describes it as "long non-coding RNA (NBEN_LNC036810)". The record is from RNAcentral. Lineage: Eukaryota; Viridiplantae; Streptophyta; Magnoliopsida; Solanales; Solanaceae.